ACCUUACACACAGUGAUUUUCUUUUCUUUGAAAACAUUGCUUUGGUCUGGCGCAAGUUGGGCCAAAGAUUUAUUAAACUUCAAUAUUUUUAUUGAAUUGUUAUUUUAACCAUAGUCAAUUUGUUGAUUAAAUUCAAAAAUCUUCAAAACUUUCAACAACGGAUCUCUUGGUUCUCGCAUCGAUGAAGAACGCAGCGAAUUGCGAUACGUAAUAUGAAUUGCAGAUUUUCGUGAAUCAUCGAAUCUUUGAACGCACAUUGCGCCCUUUGGUAUUCCAGAGGGCAUGCCUGUUUGAGCGUCAUUUCUCUCUCAAAUCUUCGGAUUUGGUAUUGAGUGAUACUCUUAGUCGGACUAGGCGUUUGCUUGAAAAGUAUUGGCAAGAGUGGUACUGAGAAGUGCUAAACUGUUUCAAUGUAUUAGGUUUAUCCAACUCGUUGAAUCUGAUUAGUAGUGAUCUGUGCUUAGGCUCGGCCUUACAACAACAAACAAAGUUUGACCUCAAAUCAGGUAGGAUUACCCGCUGAACUUAAGCAUAUCA
RNAcentral lists this ribosomal RNA (537 nucleotides) under Kurtzmaniella natalensis. RNAcentral's name for it is "eukaryotic LSU rRNA". The stretch from base 147 to 300 matches the Rfam family "5.8S ribosomal RNA". The record is from RNAcentral. Lineage: Eukaryota; Fungi; Ascomycota; Pichiomycetes; Serinales; Debaryomycetaceae.